GACAGAGGGUGCAAACGUUGUUCGGAAUUACUGGGCGUAAAGCGCAUGUAGGUGGUCAGGCAGGUCGGAUGUGAAAGCCCUCAGCUCAACUGAGGAAGUGCAUUCGAAACCGCCUGACUCGAGUCCCGGAGAGGAAGGUAGAAUUCUCGGUGUAGAGGUGAAAUUCGUAGAUAUCGAGAGGAACACCGGUGGCGAAGGCGGCCUUCUGGACGAGGACUGACACUGAGAUGCGAAAGCAUGGGGAGCAAACAGG
This 253-nucleotide ribosomal RNA is filed under the name uncultured bacterium. RNAcentral's name for it is "partial 16S ribosomal RNA". It matches the Rfam family "Bacterial small subunit ribosomal RNA", at positions 524 to 776 of the family's 1533-position model. The record is from RNAcentral.